This 126-nucleotide small RNA is filed under the name Salmonella enterica. RNAcentral's name for it is "RtT sRNA". It matches the Rfam family "RtT RNA". Rfam says of the family: This family represents a bacterial cis-regulatory element known as RtT RNA. The exact function of RtT is unknown although it is thought that it may be involved in changing the cellular response in relation to amino acid starvation. Lineage: Bacteria; Pseudomonadati; Pseudomonadota; Gammaproteobacteria; Enterobacterales; Enterobacteriaceae. The record is from RNAcentral. RNAcentral also lists the same sequence under 1 other name.
UUGCUAUCUGCGAUAUGGAAGAUUCGAACCUGCCGCAGGUUCGGGUCUCACGUAGUGAGACAGCGGAGCCGCUUGCGGCGACGGCCCGAAGGGCGAGCAAAGCGAGUCAUCCUGCACGACCCACCA